GCCACCAUGGCUCAGUUGGUUAUCCAGCUGCAGUGUUACACCAACGGGCAAGGGCUGGACCUUUGGAUGUGGUCGAGGGUUCGAUCCCCUCUGGUGGCA
Non-coding RNA from Mycena metata, 99 nucleotides. The record is from the annotation of a GenBank genome assembly. Lineage: Eukaryota; Fungi; Basidiomycota; Agaricomycetes; Agaricales; Mycenaceae.